AUCGUUAAUGGCGGAAAACUCUCUCAUCAUCAAGCACUAACGACUCAUCCUAGCUCCACCAUACUCCGUUCUAAACCCAAAUUCCUUCGAAAAAGAACGGUUUUAACUUCUCAACUCGUCAUCGUUAAUGGUGGAAAACUCUCUCAUCAUCAAGCACUAAUGACUAAUCCUAGCUCCAUACUCCGUUCUAAACCCAAAUUCCUUCAGAACCCCUGACGAAACCCUAGAAUUUUCCAGCAACCCCGACGUCCAAUUCGUCUUCAUGAGAGCCCCAAAUCCUUCAUUGGAGACCCAAAACCCUGAUUCCCCUCGCCCCUCCUCCCCCUCUUUGCCCAUCAAAACCUCUCCUUUCACCUCCAGAGAGCUAAACCAUCGAUCAGCAACCUCCUCAAGCGCGGGUCCCACCCAAGUAUGGCUCAGAACAGAGAGGACGGUGAAGAGAGGGUCUAGAUGCGAGGGAUGGGAUCAGAUGGGUGGGUCUUUCAGGUGGAACCUAAUCAAGAAUUGAAAGGGUUGAUAUGUGAGGAGCAGGUGUACUUUCAUUAAAGGUUUUGGAGGAUAUAUUUUGUGAUGCAUAUGUUCUGCCCAGAAGGCGGCUCUAAUGAUCUGCUGAUCAUAAAAGUGAGAUUGGUUCAUGACCAAGUGUACCUGCUAUGCCUUCAGUGCGAACACUUUCGCAAAAGGUGUGCAUGUGCGGGUGUGCAAGUGGCUCAACUCUCAUGAAGGGAGAAUGGUGCCAUUGUAUUCAGGCAGUAACCCUACUCUUAACUCCGGCCAAGCAAUCACAAGCCUAGCCCAGGCUGUUCUCUUCCUUGCGUAUAUUUUCUCUGCAUAGAUGUAUCCUUAGCCUUCAGUUUCUUCUAGGUGAUCCUGCUCAUGUUGGGCGAAGCUUUGGAUACAGGUUAGAUAUAAAUGUAGACUCGCCAUUGGGACCGCUCUGGCUAGAAUAUGCCUUGAACAACAAACACAUCGGAGUUGGCCAUUGCAAACUGAAUCCAUCUAUUUGCUCUUCAACGAAGCAGCAUAAACGAAAGUUCAGGAACCUUUUUCCCCAUGAAAUAGCUCGAAAUGUCUGAAUGGAUAGUAAUGUCAAAAUACCGCGGGCCGAAUUCCCUUGUUGGAGGCCCAGAUGUUAUCCUUAGUUUGGGUUUUGUUCUUUUUUGUUAUGUGGAUAAAUUCAAGAGACCGUCCAGAGUGGUAAUUGUCUCUAUGCUCUCGUUUCUAUUCGCUCAUCCAAGUUGCAAUUAAUGGUCAGUCAAAAUUAUUCCUGUUCCAGCUGCAGCUUCUCAAUCUCAUUCAAAUUGAAGUCGCGAGCGCGUGUAUUUAAUGAAUGAAGAGUAUCCUUCAGUUCCAUCUCAAUAGCAGAUUCAUGUGGUGGUGUGUACCCGCACAUCAAAAUAAGCAACAAUAAUAGAUUCUGUAUACGGUAAUCUUGCUCGAAGUUCUCUAGUACACCAAAAGAUUAUCAUUGAGGCAUGACAAGUUAAGGCAUCGUCCGCAUGUUUGGCUGUUA
Long non-coding RNA from Asparagus officinalis (garden asparagus), 1513 nucleotides. RefSeq lists it as uncharacterized. Lineage: Eukaryota; Viridiplantae; Streptophyta; Magnoliopsida; Asparagales; Asparagaceae. The transcript is spliced from 7 exons. The record is from RefSeq and is a predicted model, not a curated record.